AUACGUAGGGGGCGAGCGUUGUCCGGAUUUACUGGGCGUAAAGGGUGAGUAGGCGGUUAUAUAAGUCAGAUGUAAAAGGCUAUGGCUUAACCAUAGUUAGCAUUUGAAACUGUAUGACUUGAGUGCAGGAGAGGUAAGCGGAAUUCCUAGUGUAGCGGUGAAAUGCGUAGAUAUUAGGAGGAACACCAGUGGCGAAGGCGGCUUACUGGACUGUAACUGACGCUGAGUCACGAAAGCGUGGGUAGCAAACAGGAUUAGAUACCCUGGUAGUCCACGCCGUAAACGAUGAGUGCUAGGUGUUGGGUAGUAAUACUCAGUGCCGAAGUAAACACAAUAAGCACUCCGCCUGGGGAGUACGUACGCAAGUAUGAA
Molecule: ribosomal RNA, 372 nt
Filed under: uncultured bacterium
Lineage: Bacteria
Description: bacterial SSU rRNA
Rfam family: Bacterial small subunit ribosomal RNA
Source: RNAcentral